Molecule: long non-coding RNA, 687 nt
Filed under: Nicotiana tabacum (common tobacco)
Lineage: Eukaryota; Viridiplantae; Streptophyta; Magnoliopsida; Solanales; Solanaceae
Description: long non-coding RNA (NTAB_LNC000166)
Source: RNAcentral
AACCAUCCUAUUAUCCAGCAUCUAAUCCGACAACUGAAAGGAAAGAAAGUUACCCUGAACCAACAAAAGGAGUGAAGCCUCUGUUUUCCCCUGGCUAUGCACAACCACAUUUGCCAACUUCAAACCCUCAGCCUCAAAGGAAAGAAAGUUACCCUGAAACAGCGCAUGGCGCAAAGCCUCUGUUUUCCCCUGGUUAUACACAACAACCACAUUUACCUACUUCAAACCCUCAGCCUCAAAGGAAAGAAAGUUACCCUGAAACAGCGCAUGGCGCAAAGCCUCUGUUUUCCCCUGGUUAUACACAACAACCACAUUUACCAACUUCAAACCCACAGCCUCAAAGGAAAGAAAGUUACCCUGAAACAGUGCAUGGCGCAAAGCCUCUGUUUUCCCCUGGUUUUACACAACCACCACAUUUACCAACUUCAACCCUGCAGCCUCAAAGGAAAGAAAGUUACCCGGAAACAGCGCAUGGAGCAAAGCCUCUGUUUUCCCCUGGUUAUGCACAACAACCACAUUUACCAACUUCAAACCCGCAGUCUCAAAGGAAAGAAAGUUACCCUGAAUCAACGCAUGGUGCAAAGCCACUGUUUUCCCCUGGUUAUACACAACAAUCACACUUACCAACUUCAAGUCCAAUGCAUCAAAGAAAAGAAAGUUACCCUGAGACAGCACACGAUGCAAACC